GAUGAACGCUGGCGGCGUGCCUAACACAUGCAAGUCGAGCGGAAAGACGCUGCUUUUGCGGGGCUCUCGAGAGGGGAAGGGGGGUGAGACACGCGAGUAUACCGUCCUUGUCUGUGGGAGAUCAUCAGGGAACAGCGGCUAUAACACGGGAUGAGAUACUGAUCCAUGGGGGGGGUUGGAGAGUUACGGCGGUUGGGGAUGGUCUCGCGGCUUAUCAGCUUGUUUGUGGAGUAGGGGCGUACGAGGGCUUCGACGGCUAGCCGGCAUGGGAGGGUGGCCAGCGACCAUGGGACUGAGAUACGGACCAGACUCCAACGGGAGGCAGCAGUGGGGAAUAUUGCACAGUGGGCGGGCGCCUGAUACAGCAACGCCGCGUGCGGGAUGAAGGCCUUCGGGUGAAGAACCGCUUUCGCCUGAGACGAAGCGUGAGUGACGGUAAUGGGUAAAGAAGCACCGGCUAACUACGUG
This 468-nucleotide ribosomal RNA is filed under the name uncultured bacterium. RNAcentral describes it as "partial 16S ribosomal RNA". It matches the Rfam family "Bacterial small subunit ribosomal RNA", at positions 28 to 507 of the family's 1533-position model. The record is from RNAcentral.